AUAUCAAUAAGCGGAGGAAAAGAAACCAACAGGGAUUGCCUCAGUAACGGCGAGUGAAGCGGCAACAGCUCAAAUUUGAAAUCUGGCCUCACGGCCCGAGUUGUAAUUUGUAGAGGAUGCUUCGGGCGUGGUCCGGUCUAAGUUCCUUGGAACAGGACGUCAUAGAGGGUGAGAAUCCCGUAUGCGACCGGGUGCCGCUGUCCAUGUGAAGCUCCUUCGACGAGUCGAGUUGUUUGGGAAUGCAGCUCAAAAUGGGUGGUAAAUUUCAUCUAAAGCUAAAUACUGGCCAGAGACCGAUAGCGCACAAGUA
Molecule: ribosomal RNA, 310 nt
Filed under: uncultured Ascomycota
Lineage: Eukaryota; Fungi; Ascomycota
Description: partial large subunit ribosomal RNA
Rfam family: Eukaryotic large subunit ribosomal RNA
Source: RNAcentral